Molecule: long non-coding RNA, 4234 nt
Organism: Hylaeus anthracinus
Lineage: Eukaryota; Metazoa; Arthropoda; Insecta; Hymenoptera; Colletidae
Exons: 3
Source: RefSeq, a predicted model, not a curated record
UUGCAUUCCAAGACCGGUGGCGACGCCAUGUCCCAAAAGCGGCCAAGCUAAGAACUAAUAACCACUCAUAAGAUAUAAAGUACUAGAACUGAAACAAUGGUUCGUUAUUCUUUUAUAGAAUUGUGUAAAAACACAAGAUAUAAAGCAAAAGAAGCAACUGAUUCGAAAUGUGUAUCAUUAUAAUAUUUCCCAAGCAGUACUCAACUUUGAGAGCAAUGGGUGCAAGCUUUGAUCACUUCGAAUGGCCAGAAGGUGCUUUAAGUUUGCGAAAAAUGGUAUCGAAUCUUGACAAUAUCUUCUAAAAGAAUUAAGAAGAGCUUUACGGAACUUUUUGAAGAAGAUGUUGAAGAUGUGAAAACUAUUGAAGAUAUUCCUAUCGAAUUUAUUGAUUCAACAGCACACCAUGGUAUAUGACACAGGGUUUGUUGAAAUGCACACUGUAAAGAAACUUACCUGCUGCGCAUGCAUCAAACUCUUGAACAGAACUCUUCAAUAGAAGCAUAUUCAAUUUUGAUUCGUACAAAAAUCCUUGGUGGUUUGAGAUAUCCAAGAAAAGAUACUUAUUCGACUAUAACUGUUACAGAAGAAAUGUUUAACAUUUAUAGAAUUGAAAACAAAUUAAAAACAAGAAAUGUUUUUCAAAAAUUACCAUUUCUGUCAUGAGAAAUUUAAAUAUUGAAAGUUUAUUUCAAAAUUUGAAUGCCCACAUUAAAGACAAGGAUUUGUUAAACAACAUAAAUACGAAAUGCUUAAAACAAUUAUUGAAUUGUUCUUAAAAGUAAAAUUAUAUUAUAUGGGCAAAAAAAACACAAGAGAAUCUCAUUUAGAAUACAUAUGACAACACUUAACGAAAACAGUAUCACUUAGAGGACAAUAAUAAAGUAUUAUUUAUAAUAUUUUAUAAUAAAGUCUUAUUUAUAAUAUUUUAAAUAAUAUUUAAUAAUCAUUCUGUUAUCCUCUUCUAUUUUCAGGUAUACAUUUACGUACCGGAAAUAAUUGUGAGAGAAAGCAGGACAGAGAUCUAACAAUACGAGUUUAAGCGUACAGGAUGUGUCGUUUAUUGUACUCGCCGCAAAUGUCUCCGUUACUUUUGCUGAUAAAGGAAAGCUGAAGAAGGAAAACUUGUUUGAUGCAAAGAAAGAAACAUUGUACAGUUACUACUAGAGUAUUACACUUUUUCAUGAUGUAUAUUAUAUUUUUAACAGAAAAAAUUAUAGUAAAGAAGCAAAGAGUAAUAUUGAUAGAAAAAUAUUUACAUGAAUGAUAUCAAUAGUGAGGUAAUAAUUAAAUAUAUGAUUUCAAAUAGAGUCGUAUUCUAGUAAUUUAAUUAAUUUCAUUAUGUUGUUUCUAUUUACAUAAAUAUAUUUACAGAAAAUGUAGGUUUUGAUUAAAAAAAAACGUAAUCGAUUUUAUAAUUUUUAGAAAGCAUUACCUGUCAGAAAGAUUAUUUAACCACUACUAUAAUUUAUCUAUAAUUUGGUACUAUAAUUAUAAACUUAAAUAGUUCUCCAAUUUUAGUGAUUUUGUAUAUAUCGUUCUUGCUCUGUAUUAUUACAGUGCAUUUACAUGAUAUAAACACUUAAAUAAUUAUAAUGAAUUUAUCUAUUCGACAAACUAAAUGUUGUUUCCACUAUCUUCAAAUAUUUCUAGUGUAUUUUAUAGGUUUUUAGAAGAUGAACAAUUGAAGUUAUUAAAAGUUAAUUUAGGAGCAAUAUUAUCAUGUAUCGUUGAUAGUAAAAUCCUUCCUCAGAUAAAACUAGGUAUAUUUUAUAAAUUUUGAUGUAUGAAAUAGACAUCUGAAAUUAGAAUUUGUCUAUCGCAAUCAGUUUUUUCCAGAAAUUUGUUUUUCUAGAAAUAUUGCAUAUUUCAUCGAAAGCAGUCGUUUUCGUUUUGUAUCUGUUGUUGGACGAUGCCGCAACAGAAUAAAUUUAUUAUUUCCUGUCGUGGCUACCAUGAGUGACUGGUCAUUGUAUUCAACAGAACACGAUCUACAUUUAUGUAUAUUGAAAAGUAUACAAUGCUACUAAUUAAAAAGAAACCGAUGGUGACUUUCAAAUUCAACACCCUUGUAUAAAAAAAAGAAAGAAAGAAAUUAAAUUAAGUCUAAAUUUGUGUGUCCUCCUAAACGUGCUAAUUUUAGUUUAAAAAAUAUAAUUUUCUUGUAUUUUAUGUAAUAUAGUAAAGAUGUUUCAAAUACAAAAAUAGAAAGUAUUUUAUAGGGAACAAAGCAAAUUGCUUGAUUCGACUAAUACUUUUUUAUUAACCGAUUUCGAAAAGGAGGAGAUUACUGAAUUCGACACGUAUAUAUAUAUAUUUUUUUAUUGAGAUUUCGUUUGUUGAAGUAGUUUCAUAUCGAGAUUAAGCAGGUAAUAGUGUAAUGUUACUUUCCUGUUUUAUGUGCUAUUGCGCGCAAGGUAGUUUAUUUCAAAUUGAACAAAAAAAAAAAGAGGAACAAAUUUAGCCAAUCCUAUCCAAUAAUUGACAGCGGUUAUAUACUGGGUGUAGAAAUUAAUUCUGUAGUUUUAUUAAACAUUCAAUUAUUUAUAUUAUAUGUAGAAAUUGUUAUUGUACCUUCAUAUUCAAUCGUUUCUAACUCUAGUUUAGAUAGAAAUAUUUAUUCGUCGUUGUGUUAUUAUACACGGUGUCUCAAAAAUGUCGGAGGUGAUGUCGGAAAGAGAAAUAUAAUUUUCUUGGAUUUUAAUUUUCGAAAUUCCAAAAAUAUUGAAAGUCCUUGAAAGAAAAGGUUACUUUCAGCUUUCGUCCGGUAGGAAGAGAAAUAUAAUUUUCUUGGAUUUUAAUUUUCGAAAUUCCAAAAAUAUUGAAAGUCAUUUCUGGGACACCCUGUAUAAAGUCAAUUCCAUAAAUACUGAUAGGAAGACAUGUGUUUAAAUUAAAUAAUAGGUUUGAUAUACUGGAAUAAUAUUUUUUAUAAAUAUAUACAUGUAUACAAUAUACAGGGUGUCUUAAAAGUGUUGGAGGUCCUAGAAACGAGUGGUUCGAGUAUUUGCGAUUGUUCAACAUUGAAUCGAUAACAUAGGUACCAAUUAUUUAAUUAUCUACAAUUCUACAGGGUGUUCGAAAAAAGGUUGGAGGUCCAUGAAAGGGGAAAUUUGGGAGGUGAUUUGAAACAACUUUUUCCUUUGCGAAAAUGUCGUGCGAGGCUCCGUUACGGAGAUAUUAACAGAAAACCCCGGACCAAUCAGAGCGCGAACGUGCCGGCGGUGCACCCGCGGUAGGCGUAGACUGCGUGCUAGGCGGCCGCCCUCCGCCGGCAUACGCGCUCUGAUUGGUCCGGGGUUUUUCGUUAAUAUCUCCGUCACGGAGCCUCGGACAACAUUUUCGCUAAGGAAAAAGUUGUUUCAAAUCACCUCCACUAUGUAUAUACAGGGUGUUCUAAAAACGUUGUAACACCUUGAAAGAGAUGGUUCGGGAGGUGAUUUGAAACAACUUUUUCCUUAGCGAAAAUGUUGUUUGAAAUCACCUCCCGGGCUUUUCUGUUAAAGGACCCAUUUCAAGGACCUCUAACAUUUUGUUGGAGUAUGUGGGACACCUUGUAUAUUGAACUGCCAACUUUCUAGAUUCUCGACCUAGUCUCCAUUAGAAUGAUUACAACGUAUAUAUAUCUAUAUAUAUAGAAAGAUUGGAAGCCAUACAUUGUUGCUAAUUAUUAUUAUUCAAACGGAUUACAAGUCUGCUUAAUAAUCACAAUAAUUAUAAAGAAUGACAAUAAGAAUAAUGUCCGUCAGGUUGGGGACAUAGAAGGUUUGUACUUGUACCAAAAUUACGAAUAUUUAUAAAUUAACAAAUUAUUUACUCUUAAUAUUCUUCAUACUUAAUAAAUUAAGUAUAUACGUUUGAACUAAAGUCAUAGAUGGACCGCGAAUAUUUAUGCGUUUAUCACAAAUGUAAUUAAAAGAAAAUAUACGAUAUGUUUGGAAAAUGCAAAUGCACAAAUAUAUAAAAUAUUCACGUUACAACAUUCAAAAGACAAAGCAUACUUUAAUUAACGUUAUUAUUUUUCAUCUAUCCAUAAAAAAAUAUUAAUUCCCCGAAACAUCAACAGUAUAGUUACAAAUAAUUCAUUACAGAAGCCCAGAAUUAAUAAUUCUACACCUAAACGUACUGUUAACUUCACUACAUACUACUACAUAUACAAAUUAUAAUUUUACUACAUUCCGUUAUUCUAUAAUUCUCUCCUAAACAACUCUCCAAUCCUUUUCAACCGACUUCUAAA